RNAcentral lists this ribosomal RNA (313 nucleotides) under uncultured bacterium. RNAcentral's name for it is "bacterial SSU rRNA". It matches the Rfam family "Bacterial small subunit ribosomal RNA", at positions 28 to 339 of the family's 1533-position model. The record is from RNAcentral.
GACGAACGCUGGCGGCGUGCUUAACACAUGCAAGUCGAGCGGUAAGGCCUCUUCGGGGGUACACGAGCGGCGAACGGGUGAGUAACACGUGGGUGACCUGCCCUCAGCUCUGGGAUAAGCCUGGGAAACUGGGUCUAAUACUGGAUAUUCACUUCCUAUCGCAUGGUGGGGUGGUGGAAAGUUUUUUCGGCUGGGGAGUGGGCCCGCGGCCUAUCAGCUUGUUGGGUGGGGUGAUGGCCACCAAGGCGGACGACGGGUAGCCGGCCUGAGAGGGCGUCCGGCCACACUGGGACUGAGACACGGUCCAGACACC